GGCGCUAAUUCCAGGAUGAUAACGCCUUUUGGGCUAGUCAUGCUGCUCAUAAAUCUGGUAUACUUACCGUUACACAUUGAAAAAAUAGUCGCAAACGACGAAAACUACGCUUUAGCAGCUUAAUAACCUGCUUAGAGCCCUCUCUCCCUAGCCUCCGCUCUUAGGACGGGGAUCAAGAGGGGUCAAACCCAAAAGAGAUCGCGUGGAAGCCCUGCCUGGGGUUGAAGCGUUAAAACUUAAUCAGGCUAGUUUGUUAGUGGCGUGUCCGUCCGCAGCUGGCAAGCGAAUGUAAAGACUGACUAAGCAUGUAGUACCGAGGAUGUAGGAAUUUCGGACGCGGGUUCAACUCCCGCCAGCUCCACCA
This 364-nucleotide transfer-messenger RNA is filed under the name Escherichia coli. It matches the Rfam family "transfer-messenger RNA", at positions 54 to 374 of the family's 374-position model. Rfam says of the family: Bacterial tmRNA, also known as 10Sa RNA or SsrA, is named for its dual tRNA and mRNA-like properties. Its role is to liberate the mRNA from a stalled ribosome. To accomplish this part of the tmRNA is used as a reading frame that ends in a translation stop signal. The record is from RNAcentral. Lineage: Bacteria; Pseudomonadati; Pseudomonadota; Gammaproteobacteria; Enterobacterales; Enterobacteriaceae.